This is a long non-coding RNA of Anopheles arabiensis, 496 nucleotides long. RefSeq lists it as uncharacterized. The transcript is spliced from 3 exons. The record is from RefSeq and is a predicted model, not a curated record. NCBI's taxonomy places the organism in Eukaryota, Metazoa, Arthropoda, Insecta, Diptera, Culicidae.
UUCCAUUAUACUUUAUUUUGACCAUAUGAUCAACACUUGUACAUAGUGCCAUUUACUUUGUGUUCUUCACUCUCGCGUUGUGUUUUGAUCGUUCGAAACUCAUUGCCAGAACGAAUGCAAAUUUCAUUUGGGAAGGAUCGGUGCCGGAAGAUGCAGUGAAAAUUAUAAAAUGUUUAUAUAAAAGUGGUUAAGUAAAUCGUGAAAGAUGUAAACGCAGGCGUAACUGCAGUUUGUUCUGUUACAUGAUCUACGGCUAUUUCAUUGCCAAAGCACCUGAUAACCGUUCAAAGAAGGUGAAUUGGGCUUACAGAGUCGCCAUUUAACUUCAAUAUAUUCGUGAUCGGAAAACGCAUCAAACAACAAGUGUUUUUCUUCCAACAGCACGCGCCAUCGGUGGAGCAAGCAGCCAACGAUUUGAUCGCCAAUACGCGCCAUCAAGUAUUAUAAUAUUCCCGAAUAGCUCUGAGAAUAAAAAACUGCACACUUACUGUCCGAA